This 727-nucleotide ribosomal RNA is filed under the name uncultured fungus. Its description in RNAcentral is "SSU rRNA". It matches the Rfam family "Eukaryotic small subunit ribosomal RNA", at positions 329 to 1060 of the family's 1831-position model. Lineage: Eukaryota; Fungi. The record is from RNAcentral.
UAGGAUAGAGGCCUACCAUGGUGGUAACGGGUAACGGGGUGUUAGGGCACGACACCGGAGAGGGAGCCUGAGAAACGGCUACCACAUCCAAGGAUGGCAGCAGGCGCGCAAAUUACCCAAUCCCGACACGAGGAGGUAGUGACAAUAAAUAACAAUACGGGGUUCUUUCGGAUCUCGUAAUUGGAAUGAGUACAAUUUAAAUCUCUUAACGAGGAACAAUUGGAGGGCAAGUCUGGUGCCAGCAGCCGCGGUAAUUCCAGCUCCAAUAGCGUAUAUUAAAGUUGUUGCAGUUAAAAAGCUCGUAGUUGAAUUUCGGGGUUAGUAGGUUGGUCAUGCCUCUGGUAUGUACUGGUCUCACUGAUUCCUCCUUCCUUAUGAACCGUAAUGCCAUUAAUUUGGUGUUGCGGGGAAUUUGGACUGUUACUUUGAAAAAAUUAGAGUGUUUAAAGCAAGCUAACGCUUGAAUACAUUAGCAUGGAAUAAUGAAAUAGGACGUUCGAUCUUAUUUUGUUGGUUUCUAGGAUUGACGUAAUGAUUAAUAGGGAUAGUUGGGGGCAUUAGUAUUCAAUUGUCAGAGGUGAAAUUCUUGGAUUUAUUGAAGACUAACUACUGCGAAAGCAUUUGCCAAGGAUGUUUUCAUUAAUCAAGAACGAAAGUUAGGGGAUCGAAGACGAUCAGAUACCGUCGUAGUCUUAACCAUAAACUAUGCCGACUAGGGAUCGGAUGA